Molecule: long non-coding RNA, 1358 nt
Filed under: Astyanax mexicanus (Mexican tetra)
Lineage: Eukaryota; Metazoa; Chordata; Actinopteri; Characiformes; Acestrorhamphidae
Description: lncRNA (ENSAMXG00005020730.1)
Source: RNAcentral
UUUGUCUUACUGACAGAGUAUGUGGAAUGCAUAAUAAACGGUCAUCAAGUAUGACACUGGAUUCUUCUGAAACGAUCCUGCUAAGCCUGUGGGAGUUAGGCCUGACCAUAUUUCGGACUCUGAUGAAUUAGAAUUCCUCUUGGCUUAUCCUAAUGGCAUCUGACCGGGCUUUCUCUCGCCAUGCUGCGUUACGACUACAGCUGAGUGUCCUCGCUCCGUCGCCACUGCCCCCCUCCCCCUCACCCCAGAUGACCCAAGCCUGUGUAGAUGAGGCAUCCAGCCCAGCGUCCAGGGAUUUACCCGAGUGUGUCUGAAGGCAGAAGACAGCUGUGUAGUGGGCUCUGCUAACAUAAUGCAGACCUGUACUGGAGAGAGAACACACUGCGGGAGGCUACAGUAAACAGAAAGCGACAGCGAGUGGAGUGGAUACCAGCUCAUCCUGCAGCGGAGAACCACACAGCAAGCUGUAGUGUUAUUGUCUAUUCUCACUCAGCACACACAGACACACACACACUGACAGGCAGAUAACAGCUGCGGCAGUGUGUGAUAAGGCAGACACUGUUUACAGGCUCUGCUAAUCCUAACAGCCCUGCUAAGCAAUGCCUAAAUCCGUGGCGAUUGUCUCCGUGGCAGCAGGGGUUGCAGCCGCAUUACUUAUAUUAGAAGAGACUGAGGCUGAGAAGCAGCUGCUGGGAAGGCUCUGCCCAUCACACGCCCGUGCAGGACACACAGGCUGCGGCUUGUUUUGCUCUGAGUGUUGACCUUGGUAAGUUGUUAGAGUGAAAUUUCUCUGCAUAAGCUGGAUGGCCUAAGGUGACCCCUGUGGUGUUGGGCCACUGGAAUGAACAGGACAGUCACAGGGGGAAAAAAAAAGAAGAUUAUUAAAAAUGGUAUUUUUUUUUAUUCAAAUGUUUUACAAUGUGUUAACUCAUAGCAGCAGUCCUUAAACGUUUUUCUUUUAUACUGAAAUAAUUGAAGAGGGGACAGAAUAUUCUAAAAAGUGUCAAAAAUAUACUUCUGCUACCAUCCAUGCAGAAUCAAAUACACUAUCUUCAUUCUAGACACAGAGUGGUCUGGUAGGUUUUCUCAGGAGGAGAAAUUAGCUUUGGCUGGUUAUCUGAGCAACUGCAGCACUGCUAAUGGUGCUAAUACAAAAGCUACUGCGAACAUGGAGAUAUCGGAAUGGCAAGCUCAGUGUUCAUCUGCUCAUUCAGGCAUUGUUAAACUAAAAAAAAAACAAAAAAAACCACUGAAUUAGAACUCAAGAAAGCUGGCAAGAAUUGUUUUUUUUUUCGUCAAUCUAUACGAGGUCAAAAUGUUACAAACAAUAUUCAGGUUUUAUAUAAUGAGGUGUUGAA